CCCUUAGAUGUUCUGGGCCGCACGCGCGCUACACUGAAUGGAUCAACGUGUUUUCCCUUCCCGAGAGGGACGGGUAACCCGCUGAACCCCAUUCGUGGUAGGGAUCGGAGCUUGCAAUUGUUCUCCGUGAACCAGGAAUUCCCAGUAAGCGCAAGUCAUAAGCUUGCGUUGAUUACGUCCCUGCCCUUUGUACACACCGCCCGUCGCUACUACCGAUUUCGAGUGGUCCGCUGAACCUUUCGGAUUGGGCCAAUCUAUGGCCUGAAAAGUCAAGUAAAGCACAUCACUUAGAGGAAGGAGAANUCGUAACA
This 311-nucleotide ribosomal RNA is filed under the name uncultured eukaryote. RNAcentral's name for it is "partial 18S ribosomal RNA". It matches the Rfam family "Eukaryotic small subunit ribosomal RNA", at positions 1470 to 1796 of the family's 1831-position model. The record is from RNAcentral.